RNAcentral lists this unclassified non-coding RNA (240 nucleotides) under soil metagenome. Its description in RNAcentral is "partial contains 5.8S ribosomal RNA, internal transcribed spacer 2, and large subunit ribosomal RNA". The record is from RNAcentral.
AAGACUAUAGACCUGCGGAGUACCUGCGGAAGGAUCAUUAAAAAGAUCGACCCAACAUAUGGACGAUCAAAUCCAUAUCCACCUUGUGUGCACUUAUUGACCGUUCGCUUUGGCAGGAGUUGUCUUCGAUCCGGCCCAACCCCUAAAAUUUAUUAGGGAGGGGGAGGGAUCGAAGCGGCGAGGGGGAAUAGUCCACCUCGGCCUGCCAGAGUUUUUCCCUUUAAAAGGGAAAAGAAAUAU